CGAACGCUGGCGGCGUGCCUAACACAUGCAAGUCGAGCGAUGAAACUUCCUUCGGGAAGUGGAUUAGCGGCGGACGGGUGAGUAACACGUGGGUAACCUGCCUCAAAGAGGGGGAUAGCCUCCCGAAAGGGAGAUUAAUACCGCAUAACAUUAUUUUAUGGCAUCAUAGAAUAAUCAAAGGAGUAAUCCGCUUUGAGAUGGACCCGCGGCGCAUUAGCUAGUUGGUGAGGUAAGGGCUCACCAAGGCGACGAUGCGUAGCCGACCUGAGAGGGUGAUCGGCCACAUUGGAACUGAGACACGGUCCAGACUCCUACGGGAGGCAGCAGUGGGGAAUAUUGCGCAAUGGGGGAAACCCUGACGCAGCAACGCCGCGUGAGUGAUGAAGGUUUUCGGAUCGUAAAACUCUGUCUUUAGGGACGAUAAUGACGGUACCUAAGGAGGAAGCCACGGCUAACUACGUGCCAGCAGCCGCGGUAAUACGUAGGUGGCAAGCGUUGUCCGGAUUUACUGGGCGUAAAGAGUAUGUAGGUGGGUGCUUAAGUCAGAUGUGAAAUUCCCGGGCUUAACCUGGGCGCUGCAUUUGAAACUGGGCAUCUAGAGUGCAGGAGAGGAAAGUGGAAUUCCUAGUGUAGCGGUGAAAUGCGUAGAGAUUAGGAAGAACACCAGUGGCGAAGGCGACUUUCUGGACUGUAACUGACACUGAGAUACGAAAGCGUGGGUAGCAAACAGGAUUAGAUACCCUGG
RNAcentral lists this ribosomal RNA (745 nucleotides) under Clostridium haemolyticum. RNAcentral describes it as "bacterial SSU rRNA". It matches the Rfam family "Bacterial small subunit ribosomal RNA", at positions 30 to 790 of the family's 1533-position model. Lineage: Bacteria; Bacillati; Bacillota; Clostridia; Eubacteriales; Clostridiaceae. The record is from RNAcentral.